Molecule: ribosomal RNA, 1372 nt
Filed under: uncultured bacterium
Lineage: Bacteria
Description: bacterial SSU rRNA
Rfam family: Bacterial small subunit ribosomal RNA
Source: RNAcentral
GAUGAACGCUGGCGGCGUGCCUAAUACAUGCAAGUCGAGCGAACGGACGAGAAGCUUGCUUCUCUGAUGUUAGCGGCGGACGGGUGAGUAACACGUGGAUAACCUACCUAUAAGACUGGGAUAACUUCGGGAAACCGGAGCUAAUACCGGAUAAUAUUUUGAACCGCAUGGUUCAAAAGUGAAAGACGGUCUUGCUGUCACUUAUAGAUGGAUCCGCGCUGCAUUAGCUAGUUGGUAAGGUAACGGCUUACCAAGGCAACGAUGCAUAGCCGACCUGAGAGGGUGAUCGGCCACACUGGAACUGAGACACGGUCCAGACUCCUACGGGAGGCAGCAGUAGGGAAUCUUCCGCAAUGGGCGAAAGCCUGACGGAGCAACGCCGCGUGAGUGAUGAAGGUUUUCGGAUCGUAAAACUCUGUUAUUAGGGAAGAACAUAUGUGUAAGUAACUGUGCACAUCUUGACGGUACCUAAUCAGAAAGCCACGGCUAACUACGUGCCAGCAGCCGCGGUAAUACGUAGGUGGCAAGCGUUAUCCGGAAUUAUUGGGCGUAAAGCGCGCGUAGGCGGUUUUUUAAGUCUGAUGUGAAAGCCCACGGCUCAACCGUGGAGGGUCAUUGGAAACUGGAAAACUUGAGUGCAGAAGAGGAAAGUGGAAUUCCAUGUGUAGCGGUGAAAUGCGCAGAGAUAUGGAGGAACACCAGUGGCGAAGGCGACUUUCUGGUCUGUAACUGACGCUGAUGUGCGAAAGCGUGGGGAUCAAACAGGAUUAGAUACCCUGGUAGUCCACGCCGUAAACGAUGAGUGCUAAGUGUUAGGGGGUUUCCGCCCCUUAGUGCUGCAGCUAACGCAUUAAGCACUCCGCCUGGGGAGUACGACCGCAAGGUUGAAACUCAAAGGAAUUGACGGGGACCCGCACAAGCGGUGGAGCAUGUGGUUUAAUUCGAAGCAACGCGAAGAACCUUACCAAAUCUUGACAUCCUUUGACAACUCUAGAGAUAGAGCCUUCCCCUUCGGGGGACAAAGUGACAGGUGGUGCAUGGUUGUCGUCAGCUCGUGUCGUGAGAUGUUGGGUUAAGUCCCGCAACGAGCGCAACCCUUAAGCUUAGUUGCCAUCAUUAAGUUGGGCACUCUAAGUUGACUGCCGGUGACAAACCGGAGGAAGGUGGGGAUGACGUCAAAUCAUCAUGCCCCUUAUGAUUUGGGCUACACACGUGCUACAAUGGACAAUACAAAGGGCAGCGAAACCGCGAGGUCAGGCAAAUCCCAUAAAGUUGUUCUCAGUUCGGAUUGUAGUCUGCAACUCGACUACAUGAAGCUGGAAUCGCUAGUAAUCGUAGAUCAGCAUGCUACGGUGAAUACGUUCCCGGGUCU